UACGGUGUCGAUCGACACUGGU
Molecule: non-coding RNA, 22 nt
Filed under: Arabidopsis thaliana (thale cress)
Lineage: Eukaryota; Viridiplantae; Streptophyta; Magnoliopsida; Brassicales; Brassicaceae
Source: RNAcentral